This 141-nucleotide small RNA is filed under the name Pongo abelii (Sumatran orangutan). RNAcentral describes it as "processed transcript". The record is from RNAcentral. Lineage: Eukaryota; Metazoa; Chordata; Mammalia; Primates; Hominidae.
ACACAUCACCUUCACUUUGGGAUGUGGAAUGUGCUAAGUAGUUAGCCACAGAAAGUGAACACCCCUUCAGAAUGGGUUUGAAGAGCUGAUCCAGUGGACGAAAGAGGGGAAACUGGGAGUUCCCAAUUAACAAUGAAGCAG